AGGAGAGAAAAGAGAGAGAGAGAGAGAAAGUGGAUCUGAAUUCUGUUAUGUAUUGAUUCUGUUUGUUAUAUAUUUUUAUUCUGUUACAGUGAAUAGGAUAUAUAUAGGUAUUAUAACCUGUGCCACUACUGGACUUAACCUACACCACACACACUAACUAACUACACGUUAGUUAUGAUGACAUGGCACUCUAGAAUAUACACUAAUACUCCCCCACAAGUUCAAGGUGGCUGCAAAGUCAGGCUUGAGGCAGACAAGUUGAGCUUGCUUCUGAGCUCCAGAAAUCUUGAACUUCAAAGACUUCCCAUAAAGGAAAGUAUUUACGCUCUUGUCAUGAAUAGAUCAAAAUGAGUCUUGAGGUCAUUACAGGGAGAGCCAGCCGUUGAGGUUACAAAUGAAGGUGUUGAUGCUGCAGGGCAUACAAUUGGUACAUUUUUGGAGGUCGUGUUCAAACUUAGGAAGGUUCUCAACCCCAAGAGUGUGAUCAAACCAACAUCACUAGCUAAAGAUUAUUUUGAAUCCACAACUAACUAGAUCGUCCGAUGCUUUGUAGGUACCACACCUUUGCUAUGACCAUGUCAGUCUUGAGGUCCUUAGAGGGAUUUGUCAUUGUCUCAGCUUUACUCGAUACAACAUUGCUACAGUUCAUUUAAAAUUAUCCAUCUCCUUCUGCAAUCUAUAAGAAAAAUUGCACGGUUGACUUAAUAUACCCUUGUUAUGGUUUUAUGGAUAAUCUCUCAAUAUUUGAAUAUGCAAUUGUAAACUUGUCAUGAUCUGCGGGAGAAUAUAUAAGAUACUAUGUUCUUUUAUUUACAAUAUUAUUUUGAAUUCAUAACUUGACCGUCGGAGU
Long non-coding RNA from Lathyrus oleraceus (garden pea), 850 nucleotides. RefSeq lists it as uncharacterized. The record is from RefSeq and is a predicted model, not a curated record. NCBI's taxonomy places the organism in Eukaryota, Viridiplantae, Streptophyta, Magnoliopsida, Fabales, Fabaceae. The transcript is spliced from 4 exons.